ACCAGUGACAGCAUUCAGUGACCGUGGGCACAUUCAAGUGUUUUCAAAGUUGAUCCUGACUGUAUAUCGUCAUAUCGAGGAAGGAGUGUAGCUGUGACGAACCAAUGAAGCAGCAGGAUGUGAGGACUAAGGUGCGUGGCAAGAACUGCUGUGGGAGGAGAGGGAGAAGGAGAGGGAGGAGAAUAUUGUGCUCUCCUCCCUAAGUUCAGUGACUGGGAUCACCUUUUGACGAGUGCGUUGAAUUGAGCGCUGCCGACAUCUCGCGGCUGGUCUUGUGCGGUGUGAACUGCAGAGCGAUGAUGAGAUACGUGAAGGCGAAGUUCAGCAUCUGGCGAAGCAAGACUCGAUGUAUUUCCUACCCUGCGUGGCGUGAAAUAUGGUGUGUGUGUGUGUGUGUGUGUGUGUGUGUGUGUGUGUGUGUGUGUGUGUGUGUGUGUGU
Molecule: long non-coding RNA, 439 nt
Organism: Portunus trituberculatus (swimming crab)
Lineage: Eukaryota; Metazoa; Arthropoda; Malacostraca; Decapoda; Portunidae
Exons: 3
Source: RefSeq, a predicted model, not a curated record